This is a non-coding RNA of Vicugna pacos (alpaca), 3546 nucleotides long. The record is from RefSeq and is a predicted model, not a curated record. NCBI's taxonomy places the organism in Eukaryota, Metazoa, Chordata, Mammalia, Artiodactyla, Camelidae.
AGCAACGCAUGAACCGUGGCCGAAGCCUGGGCGUAACGACCAGGUGAAAGUCAUUUUGGAGGCAACUGGGGAUGUUCAGAACUGGAUUCUGCUGGGGAGGAAAAUCCUCUCCUUCUUCCCUUCGAGGUUCGUUGGCUGGUCCAAUAAUUAAGCUGACAUAAGACAGAUCAACAGGAGAAGAGCCAACUUCAGACACAAACACACGAGACUCCAAGGCAGGCAGGCAGGGGGGCAUCUGCACCGUCCCGAGCUCCGGGGCGGGGGCAGGAGCCCGGCUUCAGAGCGGAGGAAGCCGGUCCACAGGAGGGUGAGAAGAGCAGCUGGUCAGGAACAGGUGUUCGCCAGGCCGCGCGGCAGGUAUCUGAGACAUUUCCAAAGAGCAGACACGACUGGUGGAGUGGCCUGAUCAGGGGCUCGUCCUUGCGGUGAUGGUCCUGAGCCCAGCCGGCGCAGCACCCACCCCCCCGCCCGUGACUAACCCUAAACCAGGCUCCGCGAGCAGCAGAGGCGGCCUUCCCGAAGCUGUCGGAGAAAGUGCAGCGGGUGCACAUCCCACCAGGGCCGAGGCCGCCUGUCACUGGCUCUGCAUUUCUUGGCACAUGUGGGAAAUACUACAUGCUCGGUAAGUGUUGGUUAGAUAAAGAAACGGAUACGUGGCUGGAAGGGAAGGGAUCCCCACUCGCUGUGCCCCGGGCUGUGGGAGCCUCUACCAGCCCUGUCGCCCCACAAGCUCUGAGCCAGCCAGCAGCCAGUUCCCCUCCAGAAAAACCCUCGUGGCUUGAGUCUCCUCUCAGACACUCCCACUGUAUUAGUUUACACUCUGAACGCUUCCAGGAUGGGGGUCUCACUGCCCUGCAGGAGCCCGUCCCACUUGGGAAGAUCUGAGUUUCAGGCACACCAUCUCCUGCCCGAGUCCUGCCCCCUCUGCCCCGGGGCCGGCCAGGGUCCCGCGGGCUGUCCACGGUGGCAGCUCCGGAGUGAGGGCUGAAGUCCAGUGAGAGGGACAAAGGGUGGGGCCGAGCCUAGGACAAAGCCUUGUGAUGGCCUGCGGUCAGCCAGAAAGAGCCCACAUAGGAUUUCCCCCUCCUAUUUCUUUCUUGUGGUAAAAUACACAAAACAUAAAAUUCACUGUGUUAACCAUUUCUAAGUGUCCUGUUUACUGGUGUUAAACACACUCACCACCAUCAUCUCCACAAAGCAUCUUGUAAGACUGAAACUCCGUCCCCAUGAAACCCCAGCUCCUCUCCCCUCCCCCAGUCUCUGGCACCCGCUGUCCUACUGUCUACAAACUUGUCCACCUUAGGGACCUCAUGUAAGUGGAAUCACAGUGCUUGUCCCCUCGUGACUGGCUCGUUUCCCUGGGCACAUGUCCUCAAGCUCCAUCCGUGUUGCAGGAGGGGUCAGAAUUUCCUUCCUCUUUAAGGCUGACUGAUGUUCCAUUGUAGGGAGGGACCACGUUUGUCACCCAUCACCCGUCGAGGGACACCUGUUGGCUUCCACCUCUGGGCCAGUGUGAAUGGCGCUGCAGGAACACGGGGCACAGGCGUCUCCUUGAGACCUGCUUUCUGUUCUUUAGCGAGAGCACCCAGAAGCUAGAAUUGCUGGGUCAGGCGGAAGUUCUGGUUUUAAUCUUGUGAGGAACGGGAAUACCAUUUCCGUGCUGGCUGCCCCAUUUUGCAGUCCCCCAGCACUUGCUACUUCCUGCUUUUGCGACAGCCACCGUCCCAGUGGGUGUAAGGGGUGCGCAGGAAUCAGGGCUUUGGUCCCAGGGCUGGGCUCGUCUGCCUCCGACUGGUCUUUCUGCUUUCUUAACUGUGCUCUUUGAAGAACAAACGUUCUUCCUUUUAGUGAGCCUGGUUGAUUAAUUUUUUUCUUUUAUGUCGAAUGCUCUGCAUGUGUGGACAAUCUCUCCCUGUGAGAGUCUCAGAGACGGUCCCCUGUUUUCUCCUAAAAGUUUCAUGGAUUUAGACUUACAUUUUGGUGUCUUUGAGCUAAUUUCUGUGUGCGGCGUGAGGCAGCUUUUGGUUGCUUUAAGUGAUUAUCCAGGUGUUCCGAUACUUCGUGGAAGUCUCUCGUCUGCUUGCCGAUUUCCUGGGGCACCUCUGCAGAACAUAAACACAAGUCACGGCACUCGCAAAUUCACAGAAUCCAAGUGUGCUGAAAGCGGGACUGCUCUGUCCUGGCCCUGGGUAGCUGCUGACUCUAGAUAAAUUCAUUUGUGAACUGCAGGCACAGAGGUACCUCAUUUGUACAUAAGGCGUGACCUACCUGUGAAGUGCGCCCUUCAGGGCUGGAGGAAGGGGAUUGGAUUCCCGCAGUGGAUCGGGGAGCCACGUGCAGUAAUCCAGCAGCUUCCAAAUACUGACCGUCCCACAGUUCUGAGCAUGGUGGGGACGAGCCUGGCCGCCCUGCGGCUCCCACUGCGUCUCCCGCUGCGUCUCCCCUCAGGGCCACCUCUUCAGGCUUUGUUGAAGGCCCUCAAGGCUCCGCUCUGGAGCUCUGGGAUCCGGAACUGACGGAGGGGCAUUUGCGGAGCACCGGCUGAGGGUGUCCCCGCAGCUGCGAACGCUGUGCGGGUCAAGCAAAAGGAACUCAGUAACAAACCAUUUCUGGAUAUUUUCAUCACUUAAAAAAAACUGCCGCAUGGUCUGUGAGGUGACUACCGUGGUGUUGGUCAGGCAGGCGGGGAGCAAAGAAGAGCUGUGGUGCCAACAAGAACCUACGGGGAUGCGUCGGCAGUGAGGGGCCUUUGCCUCUCGGUGUGCACAGCCGCUCCACACCGAUGCCGAGUGAGUGGAUGAUGCCUCAGGGCUGGACCAGAGCCGCUGAGAGCGGCCUGGGCCACGUUCAAGGUCAGCGGACAGAACACACUCUCACCUGAUCAGGAGGUGUGAAACCCCGACAGCGGGCCUUCUGGGGGUGUGACACGUGCAGACCCGUCACACGGUGCUCACCAGGGGCUCCUCCUGUCGGGCGUCUGUUCGUGCUCUUGGUGGAUCCACUUUCCUUGGGCAAGAGUCAAACAACCAGGUGGACAAAUUCCUCUUCUCAUCCUCUGCUUCCCGUGUCCCGGCCCCAACCCUUUUGAAAAAUAUCAAAGACAAGGAGAAGUUAAAGCUAUAGGAUGGGAGGGAGGGCAGAGCUCAGGGGCAGAGCGCAUGCCUGACAAGCACGAGGCCCUGGGUUCAAUCCCCGGUACCUCCAUUGAAAAGAAAAAGAAUAAAUAAAUAUUUAUACUUUUCACUUAGAUCCAACAAUUCUUAACAUUUUGCCACAGUCCUUUUGUCUCUCUCCACACGCACACACACACGUAUUGUGUCUGCAGCUGGCUUCAGAUGAUUUCGCACACUUGCACACGUGCAGCUGGGUGCGGAGUGUGUCAUUCGCAGUCAGCUGCAAACGUCACUUCACUCGGCCUCCAGUGGCUGGUGCCUGACAGCAGGGAUGGUCUCCUGCUCUCAUUUCCUGCCCAGAAUCAUAGCCACGGCCACCCAGUGUUGUCGUAAGGUAUCUGGGAGACUACUUAAGAUGCUGGGUUCUUUUUAA